Molecule: ribosomal RNA, 492 nt
Filed under: uncultured bacterium
Lineage: Bacteria
Description: partial 16S ribosomal RNA
Rfam family: Bacterial small subunit ribosomal RNA
Source: RNAcentral
AGUGAACGCUGGCGGUAGGCCUAACACAUGCAAGUCGAACGGCAGCACAGUAAGAGCUUUCUCUUACAGGUGGCGAGUGGCGGACGGGUGAGGAAUACAUCGGAAUCUACUUUUUCGUGGGGGAUAACGUAGGGAAACUUACGCUAAUACCGCAUACGACCUACGGGUGAAAGCAGGGGAUCUUCGGACCUUGCGCGAUUGAAUGAGCCGAUGUCGGAUUAGCUAGUUGGCGGGGUAAAGGCCCACCAAGGCGACGAUCCGUAGCUGGUCUGAGAGGAUGAUCAGCCACACUGGAACUGAGACACGGUCCAGACUCCUACGGGAGGCAGCAGUGGGGAAUAUUGGACAAAGGGCGCAAGCCUGAUCCAGCCAUACCGCGUGGGUGAAGAAGGCCUUCGGGUUGUAAAGCCCUUUUGUUGGGAAAGAAAAGCAGCAGGUUAAUACCCCGCUGUUCUGACGGUACCCAAAGAAUAAGCACCGGCUAACUUCGUG